This 765-nucleotide ribosomal RNA is filed under the name Actinomyces sp. 2012420595. Its description in RNAcentral is "bacterial SSU rRNA". It matches the Rfam family "Bacterial small subunit ribosomal RNA", at positions 47 to 787 of the family's 1533-position model. The record is from RNAcentral. Lineage: Bacteria; Bacillati; Actinomycetota; Actinomycetes; Actinomycetales; Actinomycetaceae.
CUUAACACAUGCAAGUCGAACGGUGAAGGGGCCUGCUUUUGUGGGUCCUGGAUGAGUGGCGAACGGGUGAGUAACACGUGAGUAACCUGCCCCCUUCUUCUGGAUAACCGCAUGAAAGUGUGGCUAAUACGGGAUAUUCUGGGUCUGUCGCAUGGUGGGCCUGGGAAAGAUUGCGCCUUUUGGGUGUUUUUGGUGGGGGAUGGGCUCGCGGCCUAUCAGCUUGUUGGUGGGGUGAUGGCCUACCAAGGCGGUGACGGGUAGCCGGCCUGAGAGGGUGGACGGUCACACUGGGACUGAGACACGGCCCAGACUCCUACGGGAGGCAGCAGUGGGGAAUAUUGCACAAUGGGCGCAAGCCUGAUGCAGCGACGCCGCGUGAGGGAUGGAGGCCUUCGGGUUGUGAACCUCUUUCGCCAGUGAAGCAGGCCUGCUCCUGUGUGGGUGGGUUGACGGUAGCUGGAUAAGAAGCGCCGGCUAACUACGUGCCAGCAGCCGCGGUAAUACGUAGGGCGCGAGCGUUGUCCGGAAUUAUUGGGCGUAAAGAGCUCGUAGGCGGCUGGUCGCGUCUGUCGUGAAAUCCUCUGGCUUAACUGGGGGCUUGCGGUGGGUACGGGCCGGCUUGAGUGCGGUAGGGGAGGCUGGAACUCCUGGUGUAGCGGUGGAAUGCGCAGAUAUCAGGAAGAACACCGGUGGCGAAGGCGGGUCUCUGGGCCGUUACUGACGCUGAGGAGCGAAAGCGUGGGGAGCGAACAGGAUUAGAUACCC